RNAcentral lists this ribosomal RNA (254 nucleotides) under uncultured bacterium. Its description in RNAcentral is "partial 16S ribosomal RNA". It matches the Rfam family "Bacterial small subunit ribosomal RNA", at positions 524 to 776 of the family's 1533-position model. The record is from RNAcentral.
UACGUAGGGUGCGAGCGUUGUCCGGAAUUAUUGGGCGUAAAGAGCUCGUAGGCGGUGUGUCGCGUCGGUCGUGAAAACUUGGGGCUUAACCCUGAGCUUGCGGUCGAUACGGGCAUCACUGGAGUUCGGCAGGGGAGACUGGAAUUCCUGGUGUAGCGGUGAAAUGCGCAGAUAUCAGGAGGAACGCCGGUGGCGAAGGCGGGUCUCUGGGCCACUACUGACGCUGAGAAGCGAAAGCAUGGGGAGCGAACAGG